This 395-nucleotide unclassified non-coding RNA is filed under the name soil metagenome. Its description in RNAcentral is "partial contains 5.8S ribosomal RNA, internal transcribed spacer 2, and large subunit ribosomal RNA". The stretch from base 1 to 121 matches the Rfam family "5.8S ribosomal RNA", at positions 35 to 154 of the family's 154-position model. The record is from RNAcentral.
GAUGAAGAACGUAGCGAACGUGCGAAACGUAAUGUGAAUUGCAGAAUUCAGUGAAUCAUCGAAUCUUUGAACGCAUCUUGCGCUCCUUGGUAUUCCGAGGAGCAUGCCUGUUUGAGUGUCGUGAAUACUCUCAACAUCAACCCUUUUUUCGGAAAGGGAGGAAGGUUGGACUUGGGUGUUUGUUGAAGUGCGAGCUUCGACUCAUCCUAAAUGCAUUAGCGAUCUGCCUCGAUCACACACAAUGUGAUAAUUAAAACUAAAGCAUUGUUUAAUGAUCAAGUCGAGAAUGCUUCUAACUGUCGCAAGACAAUAACGUGCAUACAUUUGUGCAUGUCAUUUGACCUCAAAUCAGGUAGGACUACCCGCUGAACUUAAGCAUAUCAAUAAGCGGAGGA